This 246-nucleotide ribosomal RNA is filed under the name uncultured Parachlamydiaceae bacterium. RNAcentral describes it as "partial 16S ribosomal RNA". It matches the Rfam family "Bacterial small subunit ribosomal RNA", at positions 796 to 1041 of the family's 1533-position model. Lineage: Bacteria; Pseudomonadati; Chlamydiota; Chlamydiia; Parachlamydiales; Parachlamydiaceae. The record is from RNAcentral.
CUUGCCGUAAACGAUGUAUACUAGGUGUAGCCGGACUCAACCCUGGCUGUGCCGUAGCGAACGCGUUAAGUAUACCGCCUGGGGAGUACGCUCGCAAGGGUGAAACUCAAAAGAAUUGACGGGGACCCGCACAAGCAGUGGAGCAUGUGGUUUAAUUCGAUGCAACGCGAAGAACCUUACCCAGGUUUGACAUGCAGAGGACAGCGCCAGAAACGGCGUCUCUCGUAAGAGUCUCUGCACAGGUGC